Molecule: unclassified non-coding RNA, 754 nt
Filed under: Hevea brasiliensis (rubber tree)
Lineage: Eukaryota; Viridiplantae; Streptophyta; Magnoliopsida; Malpighiales; Euphorbiaceae
Source: RNAcentral
CUGCGACCUUAGCACUUGAAAACGAACAAACUCACUUAUAUUUCCAAGGAAGCGGCCCCACGUCGGGAUGCCAGAGCCUACUAGCGUUGCGAGCACGUCCUUCGGGGUGGUGUUAGCAUCCCGAGUAAGUCCUGUGGCGAACUAGCGUAUAGAAUGUCAUGGGCAGCUUAGGGCCCUUCCCGGCGGUUAAAAUCCGUGGCAAAGGGGAAGUGUAGGAGGGGCUGGUCGCGCACUGCGUGGUCCGUCGCCGACUUGGAAAGCACGCCCGGUAGCGGGUGUCCCAUAUAACUCGUGAUUCCGUCCAGUAUUGGUUAACCGUUUCGUACGGGAACCGCUGGUUUACUGAGAUAGUAUCAAAGAGGAUGAUCGGAUAAGUUGGGAUUAAGUGGUAGCACUGUUGAGUUUUGUGUAACAAAUAAAGAGUGCGCGGAUGGCAAUCCGCUAAGCCACACGGUUAGUUCGUCGCCGUGUGGAACGGUUUCCGCGGGUUAGUCACCCGUGGUCAUAUGGUGGCCAGGAACCUGGGGAGCUGACUCCCAGGCGGGCCUGGCGCCGUUUGACGUACACACCAGUUUAGGCUGGUCGAGUGGAACAAACGACUUGCACACUUACGGACACGCCCACGUCCACAGCUACACACAUGAGACACAAGCGUCCCAUACAUUUGAAUACAGCUCAUCGUAACGCAAAGCGGCUUCAAUGUGCGCGGCAGAUGAGGUGUUGUGAUCUUUGUGGGCCAAGAAUCAAAUACUGC